CCUACAUGAAGCUGGAGUUGCUAGUAAUCGCGAAUCAGCAUGUCGCGGUGAAUACGUUCCCGGGCCUUGUACACACCGCCCGUCACACCAUGAGAGUUGGCAAUACCCAACGUACGUGAUCUAACCCGCAAGGGAGGAAGCGUCCUAAGGUAGGGUCAGCGAUUGGGGUGAAGUCGUAACAAGGUACC
This 188-nucleotide ribosomal RNA is filed under the name uncultured bacterium. RNAcentral describes it as "partial 16S ribosomal RNA". It matches the Rfam family "Bacterial small subunit ribosomal RNA", at positions 1315 to 1500 of the family's 1533-position model. The record is from RNAcentral.